AAAGAUCUAAGUAAAUUUUUAAGUUUUUGUGUCAAAAAGAUUUAUAAAAUUUAUUUAGUUGUGAAAUUCUAAUCGCUUUUAUUAAUAUCUAGUAACUUCAGAAAUAAAUCUAGUUUAGAAUGCUAAGAAUUACUUUAUUUAAAAGUUAUUUUAAAAUCAUUUUUAGAUUUUAGGGGAUGAGCUCUAGGAUCUUUAUAUAAGAAUAAUUUUUUCUAUAUUUUUUAUAGGCUUAGAAUUAGCCAUUUGAUAGUGUUAUAAAAUAUAAUUUUAAGUUUUUGAUUUUAUAUUCUUUUUUGUUUAUGAGGUUUAUUUUAAAAUUUUUUUUUAUUUGGAAAUAUGAUAACAUAAGUAGAUUUAUUUUUAAGGAAAAUAUUAUAAAAUUUUCUAAUUAUUUUUUUAAAAAAAGACUAGCAAAAGAACUCGGCAAAUAAAAUUUCCGAAUGUUUAACAAAAACAUUUCCUCUUAGAAGAAGAGGUAAGGCCUGCUCACUGAAAAUUUAAAGAGCCGCAGUAUCCUAACUGUGCUAAGGUAGCAUAAUCAUUAGUCUUUUAAUUGGAGACUGGUAUGAAUGGCUUAACGAGAAAUUGACUUUUUUUGCUAUUUUAAUUGAAUUUAAUUUUUUAGUGAAAAAGCUAAAAUUAUUUAGAAAGACGAGAAGACCCUAUAGAGUUUUAUAUCUGAUUUUAUUUUUUCUUAUUAGAUUUUUUGAGAAUAAAUAUAUAAAGAUAUUUUGUUGGGGCGACAUUAAGAUAUAAAAAACUCUUUAUUUUAUAAAUUUUUAUGUAAAUAUUUCAUGAUCCUCUAAAAGGGAUCAAAAGAAAAAAUUACCUUAGGGAUAACAGCGUAAUCUUUUUUAAGAGUUCUAAUCGACAAAAAGGUUUGCGACCU
This 889-nucleotide ribosomal RNA is filed under the name Armatobalanus allium. Its description in RNAcentral is "partial 16S large subunit ribosomal RNA". The stretch from base 396 to 638 matches the Rfam family "Archaeal large subunit ribosomal RNA", at positions 1786 to 2143 of the family's 2987-position model. The record is from RNAcentral. Lineage: Eukaryota; Metazoa; Arthropoda; Thecostraca; Balanomorpha; Balanidae.